GAAGGUUAAUUGAUGAUGUUAGCUAUGCGAAGCAUUUGAUCGAAGCCCGAGUAAACGGCGGCCGUAACUAUAACGGUCCUAAGGUAGCGAAAUUCCUUGUCGGUUAAAUACCGACCUGCAUGAAUGGCGUAACGAGAUGGGAGCUGUCUCAAAGAGGGAUCCAGUGAAAUUGUAGUGGAGGUGAAAAUUCCUCCUACCCGCGGCAAGACGGAAAGACCCCGUGGACCUUUACUACAGCUUGACACUGCUAUUUGGAUAAAGAUGCGCAGGAUAGGUGGGAGGCUUUGAUCCAUAGACCCUGGUUUAUGGUGAGCCAUUGUUGAGAUACCACUCUUCUUUAUUCGAGUAGCUAACUAGCCUAAGUUAUCCUUAGGUAGGACAAUGUCUGGUGGGUAGUUUGACUGGGGCGGUCGCCUCCCAAAAUGUAACGG
This 431-nucleotide ribosomal RNA is filed under the name Campylobacter fetus. RNAcentral describes it as "bacterial LSU rRNA". It matches the Rfam family "Bacterial large subunit ribosomal RNA", at positions 1872 to 2303 of the family's 2925-position model. The record is from RNAcentral. Lineage: Bacteria; Pseudomonadati; Campylobacterota; Epsilonproteobacteria; Campylobacterales; Campylobacteraceae.